CAUUUUGUCUUGCUAACACUGCUCAUCACAGGUUAAUCAGUGGUGUGCCAUUUACAGCGCUGGACCCUUUACGUCAAUUCUCUUUAUUCCUUAAAACAACGCAAUGGUUGUCCCCAUUGACAGAUGAGGAAACUGAGACUGCAUGUGAAGCAAAUUGCUCAUGGUCACACACCUUUGGGAUACAAAUCCCAAUCCUCUGACUCCAGAAAGAAGGCCUGUCUUCUUGCAUUAACUAUCAGAAAUGAGUAACAAAUCCACGCUCGUUCAGUCUUUUGAGCCACUGCUUAAGCUGUUUGCCUUUAGGUGACAAAUACCUCCACCAUCUCUGCUUACCCUUCCAGUUCUGGAAUAUUCCUCAAAGCCCUGGAGCCACCACAGAGGACCCAGAUUAUACCUACAAACAUCCAUGUCCCCCUUUCUAGCCAUGGCAUGGAACAGACUCUCUGUCACUUGUUCCAGCUUCUGAUCAGUCUCUGUGUCAGCCUAGAAGACUCCCUGCGCCCCAUCAUUGGGAAAGGAGGGAGGUACCACCCUGGUCUUAGAAUCACAGUGGGGGAAACGACCAGAGAGAGAGAGAUCUACUGAGGAGCAGAUACUCAGCCAAGCAGACAUGGGCCUUCAGAAAGAAAGAGGCCAAGAAAUAUUUGUUUACGUUAAAAAGAAAGCAUAAAAAAACAGAACUCAAGCUAGCAGAGGCCCUGGGAGAGCAGCUGGUCCAGCCCCUGCUCCUUGCCGCACAGAGAAGGCACAAGGCUAUGGCUGAGGCGGCCUAAUCUGGCCUGUGGGUCCGCUCCAGCAGUCAUCAUCUGGUUUUGUUAACAAGGAACUAUUUACAAAAACUGAGAAACCACACUCCAAGAUGGAAAACCAAGAUUUGGGCAAAUUAAAGCAUGGAAUAUCAAGCCUCAUUUUCAGAUUAGGAAACCGAGGCCUGGAAAGUUUAAGCAGCUUGCCGGCAGUUGACUGUCCACGCGUCCAGGAUCAGAUGAGUCCUGGCUCUGGCGGGCCCCUUGGAGAAGGUGAAGCCUUCCAUGGCCAUCAGUCCCUGAUGCUGGAUAUCAGACACCACAUCAGGAAACCAAGCCUCAGAGACGCGGAGUUAGGCUUCAGAUCCGGCAAGAGCAGACUGCGUCUGGGCAUCACACAUUCCGGCCUGAACCAGAAGGACGUGGAAACGCACACAAAACGUUGACCAUGACAUUCAGGAACUAAGUGACGUUGUUAAACGCUCCUUGGAACCCCUAGGGAAAAGCCAAGGUUCUUGAAGAAAUGUAUAAACCACGGAGAGACCCUUGCCAGAUGCCAGGUCUGUAAAGUUGGAAAUCUUGUCCAGAAAUAAAUAUAGAAACGAAG
RNAcentral lists this long non-coding RNA (1353 nucleotides) under Equus caballus (horse). RNAcentral describes it as "lncRNA (ENSECAG00000052934.1)". Lineage: Eukaryota; Metazoa; Chordata; Mammalia; Perissodactyla; Equidae. The record is from RNAcentral.